Anas platyrhynchos (mallard) is the source of this 340-nucleotide non-coding RNA. NCBI's taxonomy places the organism in Eukaryota, Metazoa, Chordata, Aves, Anseriformes, Anatidae. The record is from RefSeq and is a predicted model, not a curated record.
GCUCCCGCAGGGGGUCCCGGAGCCCAGGUCCUGCGGGCUGUGAGCAUGGCACGGGGGGGCCCAGCACUGCGACACCGCGGCGCCUGCGGGGAAAGGCGAGGAAAUCCAGCUCAGGCUGCCCGCGGCUCCGGCCGCAGGUCCGAGGUCCCCGGGAGGUGCCCGGUGCCGGUGCUGCCCCCGCCGCCAGCCCCCAGCGGUGCCCCGAGGACUUGGAUUUGAAGGGGGAAAAAUCCGGCUUCUGACCCCUGGGUGUAAGGAAAGAGGCGUGAUGUGCCCCGAGACCCCUCGGCAGGCUCAGCUGUCAGCAAGUGAAUAAAAAGUUCUGCUUUAAGUGUCUUUA